UACGUAGGGCGCAAGCGUUGUCCGGAAUUAUUGGGCGUAAAGAGCUCGUAGGCGGCCAGUUGCGUCUGCUGUGAAAUCCCGGGGCUCAACCCCGGGCGUGCAGUGGAUACGGGCUGGCUAGAGGCAGGCAGGGGAGAACGGAAUUCCCGGUGUAGCGGUGAAAUGCGCAGAUAUCCGGAAGAACACCGGUGGCGAAGGCGGUCUGCUGGGCAGUUGCUGACACUGAGGCGCGACAGCGUGGGGAGCAAACAGG
Molecule: ribosomal RNA, 253 nt
Filed under: uncultured bacterium
Lineage: Bacteria
Description: partial 16S ribosomal RNA
Rfam family: Bacterial small subunit ribosomal RNA
Source: RNAcentral